This 151-nucleotide small RNA is filed under the name Chrysemys picta bellii (western painted turtle). Its description in RNAcentral is "TUC338 (ENSCPBG00000008874.1)". The record is from RNAcentral. Lineage: Eukaryota; Metazoa; Chordata; Testudines; Emydidae.
UUGAUAACUCUAAAGAUUGAGGUCCACUGUUUAUCCAUAAAUAUGUCAAGUACACAGUCUCAACUAAUAUACUUCAAACCUGACCUAGAGGGACUACCUCAAGGGUAAAAUGGUAAUUUAAUCUCUAUGCUCACUCAAAUCCUUUACUCCU